Molecule: non-coding RNA, 902 nt
Organism: Microcebus murinus (gray mouse lemur)
Lineage: Eukaryota; Metazoa; Chordata; Mammalia; Primates; Cheirogaleidae
Source: RefSeq, a predicted model, not a curated record
ACCCUCGUCCUCGCCAGCCACGCUGUGAGGUGAAAGCCACGCCAGCCACGCUGUGAGGUGAAAGCCACGGCACCCGGAGAGGAAGCGGCGUCCCCAGUCACGGCUCUGGGAGCAGCGGCGCGAGGAAGCGGCCCCGAGUCGCCGCCCGGCACGCGCCUCGACCGCGCGCGGGAGUCUCGGGGACGCGAGUCCUCGCGACGCGCCCGCCGGAUACCGCGAGAUUUGGAUGCCGCACGCGCUCGCCACGCAGGCUUGUUGCGCUCGCUCAGGCCGACCUGGAAAUGCGUAUUUCUUCAAAAAAACAUGUAAUGGACACUCUGUUCCCUGCAUCCCUCUGAGAACUGGGGAUGCUUCGGUCAGCAACACCAAGAGGCGCUCUUGCCCUGGCCCGACGGCGACGCGGCAGGGUCUUGCCGUGUUGCCCAGGCUGGUCUCAAACUCCCGGCCUCCAGUGAUCCUCCCGCCUCAGCCCCCCAGGUAGCUGGGACUAUGGACCAGCACUGGUGUCUCCCAACCUGCUAAUGUCUUUAGUGACCUGGAAACCCCAGCCACACAUUGCACAGUGGGGUGAAUUUGGAGCUAUGUUCACGUGGCUUGCCUUUGGCUUCUACUUCAACCAGCCUAAAUCAUCAUUCAGGAGGGAAUGAGUGACCCUUCUGAGAAUGUUGGAAAAGAAAGUAGCCACGGAAUCUGUGUUGAAGGUGAUCUGAAUGCCUGUUACCAUGUAACAGAUCACCUUAGGUGUGGAAAUGAUGCUUUGCUGUAAUGGGCAAGUUGAGACACCAGGUCACACUUGGCAAUCUACUCUAUAUGUGGAAGUCUACACAACCACAUGAGGGCUAACCUGUCAGUCCCCUUUAUAAAACAUUUUAGAAAAUUAAACAAUGCCCUACCUUCCCCUA